ACCAUAAAACUAUGCCAGAAACAAUAAGCACAAAAUAACACUAUGUUUAUCAAAAUCCCUGCCUUGACAUAAUUGGUUGUGAGACUAGAACCAUUAUGAAACAAAAUAUUGAUGGUGAUUA
This is a non-coding RNA of Tinamus guttatus (white-throated tinamou), 121 nucleotides long. The record is from RefSeq and is a predicted model, not a curated record. Lineage: Eukaryota; Metazoa; Chordata; Aves; Tinamiformes; Tinamidae.